Molecule: ribosomal RNA, 198 nt
Filed under: uncultured bacterium
Lineage: Bacteria
Description: partial 16S ribosomal RNA
Rfam family: Bacterial small subunit ribosomal RNA
Source: RNAcentral
ACGCUCGACACCUACGAGAGGCAGCAGUGGGGAAUAUUGCACAAUGGGGGAAACCCUGAUGCAGCGACGCCGCGUGAGUGAAGAAGUAUUUCGGUAUGUAAAGCUCUAUCAGCAGGGAAGAAGAUGACGGUACCUGAGUAAGAAGCCCCGGCUAACUACGUGCCAGUAGUCGCGGUAAUCUGAGCGGGCUGGCAAGGC